Molecule: ribosomal RNA, 135 nt
Filed under: Salmonella enterica
Lineage: Bacteria; Pseudomonadati; Pseudomonadota; Gammaproteobacteria; Enterobacterales; Enterobacteriaceae
Also listed under: 3 other names
Description: partial 23S ribosomal RNA
Rfam family: Bacterial large subunit ribosomal RNA
Source: RNAcentral
GGUUAAGCGACUAAGCGUACACGGUGGAUGCCCUGGCAGUCAGAGGCGAUGAAGGGCGUGCUAAUCUGCGAUAAGCGCCGGUAAGGUGAUAUGAACCGUUAUAACCGGCGAUACCCGAAUGGGGAAACCCAGUGU